UACGAAGGGGGGCUAGCGUUGUUCGGAAUUACUGGGCGUAAAGCGUGCGCAGGCGGUUGCUGAAGUCCGUUGUGAAAGCCCCGGGCUUAACCUGGGAAUGGCAGUGGAAACUAGGCGACUUGAAUCUGGCAGAGGGGGGUGGAAUGCCACGGUGUAGCAGUGAAAUGCGUAGAGAUGUGGCGGAACACCGAUGGCGAAGGCAGCCCCCUGGGUCGAGAUUGACGCUCAGGCACGAAAGCGUGGGGAGCAAACAGG
Molecule: ribosomal RNA, 255 nt
Filed under: uncultured bacterium
Lineage: Bacteria
Description: partial 16S ribosomal RNA
Rfam family: Bacterial small subunit ribosomal RNA
Source: RNAcentral